This 406-nucleotide ribosomal RNA is filed under the name uncultured bacterium. RNAcentral describes it as "partial 16S ribosomal RNA". It matches the Rfam family "Bacterial small subunit ribosomal RNA", at positions 30 to 526 of the family's 1533-position model. The record is from RNAcentral.
AUUGAACGCUGGCGGCAGGCCUAACACAUGCAAGUCGAACGAAACGCGGACGUGUGGGUAAUGUCUGGGACCCUUCCCGAUGGAGGGGUAUGACUAAUGGUAACGGAAGCUACAAACGCCUACCAUCGGCUGUGCCGAGAUGGGAUUAGCUAGUGGUCGGGGUAAUGGCUCACCAAGGCGACGAUCCCGAGUUGGUCUGAGAGGAGGCACAGCCACACUGGAACUGAGACACGGUCCAGACUCCUACGGGAGGCAGCAGUGGGGAAUAUUGGGCAAUGGGCGAAAGUCUGAUGGAGCCAUGCCGCGUGAAUGAAGAAGGCUUUCGGGUUGUAAAGUACUGUCGGCGGGGAGGCGUUACUCUAACAAGAAGCAACGGCUAACUCCGUGCCAGCAGCCGCGGUAAUAC